AUGAGUCUGUGAAUGAGUGCAUGGAAGGU
Molecule: non-coding RNA, 29 nt
Filed under: Cricetulus griseus (Chinese hamster)
Lineage: Eukaryota; Metazoa; Chordata; Mammalia; Rodentia; Cricetidae
Source: RNAcentral